Molecule: ribosomal RNA, 468 nt
Filed under: uncultured bacterium
Lineage: Bacteria
Description: partial 16S ribosomal RNA
Rfam family: Bacterial small subunit ribosomal RNA
Source: RNAcentral
GACGAACGCUGGCGGCGUGCUUAACACAUGCAAGUCGAACGGAAAGGCCCUGCUUUUGUGGGGUGCUCGAGUGGCGAACGGGUGAGUAACACGUGAGUAACCUGCCCUUGACUUUGGGAUAACUUCAGGAAACUGGGGCUAAUACCGGAUAGGAGCUCCUGCUUCAUGGUGGGGGUUGGAUAGUUUCGGCGGUUGGGUAUGGACUCGCGGCUUAUCAGCUUGUUGGUGGGGUAGUGGCUUACCAAGGCUUUGACGGGUAGCCGGCCUGAGAGGGUGAACGGCCAAAAUGGGACUGAGAUAAGGCCCAGACUCCAACGGGAGGCAGGAGUGGGGAAUAUUGCACAAUGGGCGGAAGCAUGAUGCAGCAAAGCCGCGUGCGGGAUGACGGCCUUCGGGUUGUAAACCGAUUUCGCCUGUGACGAAGCGUGAGUGACGGUAAUGGGUAAAGAAGCACCGGCUAACUACGUG